This 1451-nucleotide ribosomal RNA is filed under the name Halomonas sp. RNAcentral describes it as "bacterial SSU rRNA". It matches the Rfam family "Bacterial small subunit ribosomal RNA". The record is from RNAcentral. Lineage: Bacteria; Pseudomonadati; Pseudomonadota; Gammaproteobacteria; Oceanospirillales; Halomonadaceae.
GAAGCGAGCUACACAUGCAGUCGAGCGGCAGCACGGGAAGCUUGCUUCCUGGUGGCGAGCGGCGGACGGGUGAGUAAUGCAUAGGAAUCUGCCCGGUAGUGGGGGAUAACCUGGGGAAACCCAGGCUAAUACCGCAUACGUCCUACGGGAGAAAGCAGGGGCUCUUCGGACCUUGCGCUAUCGGAUGAGCCUAUGUCGGAUUAGCUGGUUGGUGAGGUAAUGGCUCACCAAGGCGACGAUCCCGUAGCUGGUCUGAAGAGGAUGAUCAGGCCACAUCGGGGACUGAGACACGGCCCGGAACUCCUACGGGAGGCAGCAGUGGGGAAUAUUGGACAAUGGGCGCAAGCCUGAUCCAGCCAUGCCGCGUGUGUGAAGAAGGCCCUCGGGGUUGUAAAGCACUUUCAGUGGGGAAGAAAGCCUUGCUGGUUAAUACCCGGCAGGAAGGACAUCACCCACAGAAGAAGCACCGGCUAACUCCGUGCCAGCAGCCGCGGUAAUACGGAGGGUGCGAGCGUUAAUCGGAAUUACUGGGCGUAAAGCGCGCGUAGGUGGCUUGAUAAGCCGGUUGUGAAAGCCCCGGGCUCAACCUGGGAACGGCAUCCGGAACUGUCAGGCUAGAGUGCAGGAGAGGAAGGUAGAAUUCCCGGUGUAGCGGUGAAAUGCGUAGAGAUCGGGAGGAAUACCAGUGGCGAAGGCGGCCUUCUGGACUGACACUGACACUGAGGUGCGAAAGCGUGGGUAGCAAACAGGAUUAGAUACCCUGGUAGUCCACGCCGUAAACGAUGUCGACUAGCCGUUGGGUCCUUCGCGGACUUUGUGGCGCAGUUAACGCGAUAAGUCGACCGCCUGGGGAGUACGGCCGCAAGGUUAAAACUCAAAUGAAUUGACGGGGGCCCGCACAAGCGGUGGAGCAUGUGGUUUAAUUCGAUGCAACGCGAAGAACCUUACCUACCCUUGACAUCCUGCGAACCCUUCGGAGACGAAGGGGUGCCUUCGGGAACGCAGAGACAGGUGCUGCAUGGCUGUCGUCAGCUCGUGUUGUGAAAUGUUGGGUUAAGUCCCGUAACGAGCGCAACCCUUUGUCCCUAUUUGCCAGCGAUUCCGGUCGGGAACUCUAAGGGAGACUGCCGGUGACAAACCCGAAGGAAGGUGGGGGACGAACGUCAAGUCAUCCUGGGCCCUUACGGGUAGGGCUACCCCCUUGCUACAAUGGUCAGUACAAAAGGGUUGCGAACUUUGCGAGAUUGGAGCCAAUCCCAGAAAGCUGAUCUCAGUCCGGAUCGGAGUCUGCAACUCGACUCCGUGAAGUCGGAAUCGCUAGUAAUCGUGAAUCAGAAUGUCACGGUGAAUACGUUCCCGGGCCUUGUACACACCGCCCGUCACACCAUGGGAGUGGACUGCACCAGAAGUGGUUAGCCUAACCUUCGGGAGGGCGUCACCACGGGUUAACA